UCAGCGGCAGUUUCAAAAUUGAAGAUUUGCAUAGUAAAGGGGUAUCAAUAGGAUUUUGAGCUACUAUGUAUGUCCUAUUUACCCACCGAACUGUCGUUAUUCAACUAUGACAAGGUAAAAUCGGUUUUGCAUUCUAUCACCCC
Long non-coding RNA from Sander lucioperca (pikeperch), 143 nucleotides. RefSeq lists it as uncharacterized. The transcript has 3 exons. The record is from RefSeq and is a predicted model, not a curated record. NCBI's taxonomy places the organism in Eukaryota, Metazoa, Chordata, Actinopteri, Perciformes, Percidae.